RNAcentral lists this long non-coding RNA (1536 nucleotides) under Piliocolobus tephrosceles (Ugandan red Colobus). Its description in RNAcentral is "lncRNA (ENSPTEG00000035955.1)". The record is from RNAcentral. Lineage: Eukaryota; Metazoa; Chordata; Mammalia; Primates; Cercopithecidae.
AGGUUUCCGAAGCAAAGGUUACUUAGAAGUGGAGGUUCCACUGCCAGCUUCCCCCCCGCUGCAAAACCUGACACUCCUCACCCUCAGGGUUCAGCAAGAUUCUCGGAAAGGCCUCUUCUGAUUCUAGGAGGUGCUGCAGCAGGAGCUGACUCGGCCAUUUCCUGUCCUCUUUAGUUGGAAGAUGACAGAAAGGCGGAAGCAGGGACUGCUAUUGUGAGGCCCAUGGCAGCCUCCCUGUAAAACAAAUUGGCAAAUUGUCACCAUCAGAUGGACCACAGCUGGCCCUCUGCAGAGCCCUCCUUGGCCUUUCCAGAGUGUGCAUGAUUGUGUCCCAUGUCCAGGGAGAGGACAGAGCCACCAGGAGGGUCAAGGUCAUGGAGGGAAGCAUGGCCCCUGAUGACCUUCUAGAAGCAACACUGAGUUCGGCAGCUUGGGGUCCACUGGGGCACAGCAUGUCUGAGCCUAACCUGACGGCCAGCCUCCCAUUGGCUCAGCUUGUCUUCCCAGGUACUGCCUGGAAAACCAGCCUCUGGUAGGGAUGUCCAGGCCUGCCCUUCCCAGCUCUACCAGGGUGGAAAUCCGAUUCCCUGGGCCCUGUUUUCAGAGUUCCAGUGCUCUCUCUCAUAGCCUGUAAGUGGAGAAGGGCAAGCUGAAGAAGGAACAGACUGUUUUCUCAGGGGGAAGCCGGGCAGCUCGUGUAUGCCUCCCAGCAUCGCGGCAUGGUGGAUUCAUCCGGCCCUGAGGACAUGAAUUUGGUUCCUCCAGGAGCUCCUCCAGCCUCAAGAUCCACAAAUUGGAUGGAGUAUGUAUGAAACUGCAGAAAACCCAUUACCCUCCCUUACACAGGAAUGUUGCUCUCCUUUUAGGCUUGUCAGGCAGCUGAAGAGGAGGAUCCUAGGAGACUUUUCUUUCCUGAGAAACCCAAAGAAAGCAACAGCAGAUCUGUAGGGUGUGGGGGAAGGGGGCAGGGGAAAUGUAUUUUCAGUAACAGAGGCCUAAAGCAGAAACUAUUUGCAAACAGGUGACCUGCUCAAGUUCUCCUGUGAUCUUUCAUUUCUAGUGCUGGUUUUUCCCCCUCAUUAAAAAAACCAAUUUAAUUUCUUGCUUCACCUGCAUGGUAAAAAUAAUUACAUACAGACAUUAAGCCUGCACUAAAAAUCAAUGUACAGAGAGAUGCCACCUUUGCUGUUAGUCAUCACAGGGCUUGUUGGCUACAAAUAGAAAGCAUUUAAAAUACUUCUCUUUGUAGAAAGACAAGUGAAACUAGUCACUAGCCCUGUCGCUGGAGAGCAGCCUUUGUAUGUUAGUGAGAGUCAAGGGUCAGAAAGGAAGAUGAGGCUCUAACAGGGGUUUCAUGGUGUCCGGGUCCCUGUUUUCUUACUGGUGAAAGAUACAAGGGCUGAUCACCAUCAUAGAAUACUAACUUCAGAUGCGGAGCCUCCACACCACUGCUGCUGCCUUAAUGGACAUAAGCAUGCUUCUUUCUUCUUUAUUUCCUGGAGCUCAAGCCUGAACCACAGGGGGUAUAAGGAGAAU